RNAcentral lists this ribosomal RNA (473 nucleotides) under uncultured bacterium. RNAcentral's name for it is "partial 16S ribosomal RNA". It matches the Rfam family "Bacterial small subunit ribosomal RNA", at positions 28 to 523 of the family's 1533-position model. The record is from RNAcentral.
GACGAACGCUGGCGGCGUGCUUAACACAUGCAAGUCGAACGGUAAGGCCCUUCGGGGUACACGAGUGGCGAACGGGUGAGUAACACGUGGGUGAUCUGCCCUGCACUUUGGGAUAAGCCUGGGAAACUGGGUCUAAUACCGGAUAGGACUAUGCGCUUCACGGUGUGUGGUGGAAAGCUUUUGCGGUGUGGGAUGGGCCCGCGGCCUAUCAGCUUGUUGGUGGGGUAAUGGCCUACCAAGGCGACGACGGGUAGCCGGCCUGAGAGGGUGACCGGCCACACUGGGACUGUGAUACGGCCCAGACUCCUACGGGAGGCAGCAGUGGGGAAUAUUGCACAAUGGGCGCAAGCCUGAUGCGGCGACGCCGCGUGAGGGAUGACGGCCUUCGGGUUGUAAAGCUCUGUCUUCAGGGACGAUAAUGACGGUACCUGAGGAGGAAGCCACGGCUAACUACGUGCCAGCCGCCGCUGUAA